Molecule: ribosomal RNA, 279 nt
Filed under: uncultured bacterium
Lineage: Bacteria
Description: partial 16S ribosomal RNA
Rfam family: Bacterial small subunit ribosomal RNA
Source: RNAcentral
UGCCAGCCGCCGCGGUAAUACGGAGGGGGUUAGCGUUGUUCGGAAUUACUGGGCGUAAAGCGCACGUAGGCGGAUCAGAAAGUAUGGGGUGAAAUCCCAGGGCUCAACCCUGGAACUGCCUCAUAAACUCCUGGUCUAGAGUUCGAGAGAGGUGAGUGGAAUUCCGAGUGUAGAGGUGAAAUUCGUAGAUAUUCGGAGGAACACCAGUGGCGAAGGCGGCUCACUGGCUCGAUACUGACGCUGAGGAACGAAAGCAUGGGUAGCAAACAGGAUUAGAUA